GGCAUUUCCCAUGCUUGCACUCACUCCAUUCUGCUGCCCUGUGAAGAAGGUGCCUGCUUCCUCUUUGCCUUCUGCCAUGAUUAUGGUUCAAGGGCCCAGGAUGGAAGAAACUCUGAUGUCUUCAGCAUCUGGCUUACAGGGUCAUCCUGGGCAGGAGUAUCCAGCCAAAACUAGGAAAGUGCCGCAGAGCAGAGAAGCAAUUCUCAACAAGACAAAGCUAGUGUAACAGAGACUUGUGGAGUCAAGUUAAGAAGAGCAUAGACAGCGAGUGGAACUCUUGACUGGAGUCUCGUCCAUCAUUUCUUCUCUGUGUAACCCCAGGCUCUUAGUUUCCUCUUAUGUAAUCUGGAGAUAAUGACAUGUAUUUUAUAUAAUUAUCAUGAAUAUUAAAACAAAAACGCCUUUAUGCCACAUGUUUAACAUUGUGUCUACAUCACAGAUAUGUGCUUUAUAUACUCAGUGCUUUGUACCCACUGAUUCCUGGUGAAUGAAAUACAGUCAGAUAUCACAAUGACUGUCUGCUGAAAUGCUGGAAUCCUGCCUGUUGUUCAGGAACCAGAGUGGAGAAAAAUGAACACUGUAGUGUUUUUACUUUUUAGAGAAAGAUCAUUUGUAUGUGGCUCCACUGUAAUAAUUGCAUUUGCAAUGCCUUCAUGCUGUCACAUGGUCUAACCCCCAGGAUCUUAUCUUAAUAAAAAUUCAGUUAAACACAUGUUUAAAUUGGCCAGAUCAGCCAAAUCUGGAACAGGGAAAGUUGUUUUCCUCCUAAUGAACUGUCCCCUGGACACGGGCAGUGCCACAGAAGUUCAGAAAUGUUUAUUGUCCACCGCAUUUCCAGGAGUUAUACUCUUUGUUGAACCCCAUCAUGGUGCCGGGGGAGGCUGGUGAUUCAUUAAUUCACUGUGAUGAUUUGUCCUAAUUAUUCUAAUUACUGCCUUGUCUCCUCAGCCCAGCUGGUGCCUAAAGCAGAGGGAAAGUCACCAGUCAUGAGUACUGCGGCAGCCGCUGCAGAAUCCUGGGCAUUGGAUCUGUAGGAUUCACCGUCACCGCAUCAAAAAAAUCUUGCUGCUGCUGGAACUGACUUGGUCUUGGUGCUGCUCUGGCCUGAGUCAGGGUUCCCGGGGCCUCGCCAUGCAUGCAUGCUGUCCUCUGCUCCUCUUGUUCCUUUUCAGGGAGAGAAGAGGCCUGAUGGAGGGGGCUUUUCUGUCUUCCCAGCCUGCUGCCCCCCAACUCCAGACAGCAUCUGCUGUGUGUUCUUCGUGCACCCGUC
Molecule: long non-coding RNA, 1270 nt
Organism: Callithrix jacchus (white-tufted-ear marmoset)
Lineage: Eukaryota; Metazoa; Chordata; Mammalia; Primates; Cebidae
Source: RefSeq, a predicted model, not a curated record